CUAAGGCUCCAGAGGAAGCCACGGCUAACUCUGUGCCAGCAGCCGCGGUAAUACAGAGGCGGCAAGCGUUGUUCGGAAUUAUUGGGCGUAAAGAGCACGUAGGCGGCCUUGCAAGUCAGUUGUGAAAGCCUUCCGCUUAACGGAAGAAUGCCAGCUGAUACUACAGGGCUUGAGUACGGGAGGGGAGAGUGGAACUUCUGGUGGAGCGGUGAAAUGCGUAGAUAUCAGAAGGAACGCCGGCGGCGAAAGCGACUCUCUGGCCCGAAGCUGACGCUGAGUGUGCGAAAGCUAGGGGAGCAAACGGGAUUAGAUACCCCGGUAGUCCUAGCCGUAAA
RNAcentral lists this ribosomal RNA (335 nucleotides) under uncultured Planctomycetales bacterium. RNAcentral's name for it is "bacterial SSU rRNA". It matches the Rfam family "Bacterial small subunit ribosomal RNA", at positions 473 to 806 of the family's 1533-position model. Lineage: Bacteria; Pseudomonadati; Planctomycetota; Planctomycetia; Planctomycetales. The record is from RNAcentral.